GCAAUUAGGAAAGUCCGAGCACAGCAGGGCAGAGUGCGAGAUAACGUCUCGUGGAGGCGACUCCAAGGAUAGUGCAACAGAAAUAGACCACCACUAAUUAAGCUGUAUUGUGUUUUUAGAUUUGGAAAAUAUCCAACAUCUUACCUCCUAUUUUUUCGCAAUACAGGCGCAGUGGAAAGGGUGGAAAGGUGGUGUAAGAGACCACCGGUGCAUUAGAGAUAGUGCACGCUCUGUAAACCCCACUUUGUGCAAGAUAAGGGAGAGUUAAAAAGGUUUGCCCGGCCUUCUUCCGUCAUACAUCGCUGGAACAUAUUGGCAACAAUAUGUCUAGAUAGAUGACCGUCCAUGACAGAACUCGGCUUACAGACUAGUC
RNAcentral lists this RNase P RNA (373 nucleotides) under bovine gut metagenome. RNAcentral describes it as "Bacterial RNase P class A". It matches the Rfam family "Bacterial RNase P class A", at positions 38 to 361 of the family's 367-position model. From Rfam's summary of the family: Ribonuclease P (RNase P) is a ubiquitous endoribonuclease, found in archaea, bacteria and eukarya as well as chloroplasts and mitochondria. The record is from RNAcentral.